GGCCCGCAGGCGGCCAUGGCGGCGGGCGCGGGGGCCAGGCCGGCGCCGCGCUGGCUGCGGGCGCUGUGGGAGCCGCUGAGCGCGGCGCAGCUGCGGCGGCUGGAGGAGCACCGCUACAGCGCGGCGGGGGUCUCGGUGCUGGAGCCGCCGCUGCAGCGCUACUGGGCCUGGCUGCUCCAGUGGGUGCCGCUGUGGCUCGCCCCCAACUCCAUCACCCUGCUGGGCCUCGCCAUCAACCUGCUCACCACGCUCCUGCUCAUCGCCUACUGCCCCACGGCCACCGAGGAGGCACCAUACUGGACAUACCUAUUAUGUGCACUCGGGCUCUUUAUCUACCAGUCACUGGAUGCUAUUGACGGGAAACAAGCCAGAAGAACAAAUUCUUGUUCUCCUUUAGGAGAACUUUUUGACCAUGGUUGUGACUCUCUUUCCACGGUAUUGAUGGCAGUUGGAGCUUCAAUUGCUGUGCGCUUAGGAACUCAUCAUGACUGGUUGUUUUUCUGCUGUUUUAUUGGGAUGUUCUUAUUUUAUUGUGCUCAUUGGCAGACUUAUGUUUCGGGUGUGUUGAGGUUUGGAAAAGUGGAUGUAAAUGAAAUUCAAGUAGGUUUAAUGAUCAUCUUUGUGUUGUCUACAUUUGGAGGAGCAACAAUGUGGGACUAUACGAUACCCAUUCUAGAAGUAAAAUUGAAGAUCUUCCCAGUUCUUGGAGUUGUAGGUGGAGCAAUUUUUUCCUGUUCAAAUUAUUUCCAUGUUAUCCUCCAUGGUGGAGUUGGCAAGAAUGGAUCCACUAUAGCAGGCACCAGUGUCUUGUCACCUGGACUUCACAUAGGAAUAAUUAUUAUACCGGCAAUAAUGAUCUAUAAAAAGUCAGCAACUAAUGUGUUUGAAAAGCAUCCUUGUCUUUAUACCCUAAUGUUUGGAUGUGUCUUUGCUAAAGUAGCACAAAAAUUGGUGAUAGCUCACAUGACUAAAAGUGAACUGUAUCUUCAAGACACUGCCUUUUUGGGCCCAGGUCUUUUAUUUUUAGACCAGUACUUUAAUAAUUUUGUAGACGAAUAUGUUGUUCUAUGGAUAGCAAUGGUCAUUUCUUCAUUUGAUAUGAUUAUGUACUUUAGUGCUUUGUGCCUGCAAAUUUCAAGACACCUUCAUCUAAGUAUCUUCAAGAUUUCAUGUCAUCCAGCACCUGAACAGGUUCACAAGCAUAUUGACUAAUAACCCAAGGAAAAAAGGAGAAGCAGUUAGGGGAACCUAGGAGUGAAGGAAAUCCCCUUUUGCAGGAGGCUAGUAUACUAUCAAAUAAGGUUCAAGUUCUCCCUUCAAAGAGUCAUCAGAAUAACAUGGAUUGAAGAGACUUUCGAACAAUUGCCAUCUCCUGCUGCUGCUGUUCAUGAAAGGAGAUAUUAAACAUUUGUUUAAUUUUUAGAUAAGUGUUAACCAUAUUUCAACAAAUAAAAUAUUUCAAUGCUUAAAACAUAUUAAUCCUUUUCAAUUGUAAUAUCAUAACUUACAGUAUCCAUCAUAAUUUGUUUUUGAAACAUAGCCAUUUCAUUUUUAAGUUCAUUUUGUGCAUCAGUAACUAGAGUAUCACUGUUCUUCUCCAAGUCCUCCAUACUCUAAAACACAAAAAACUAGUUUAGUUAUAAAUCACCAUUUUUAAUCUCAGGUUCUAAACUUGUGCAAUUAAUUUUCAAAAGUAGGAACUUUAAAAAAUUCAAGUAGUGUACAUUAUUUAUUCUUAAUAAAAAUAUUCUAAGUAAUGCAUCAAAACCAGAAUGCCCACUAGGAUUAAAAGGUGCCAGACAUGAAUCAAAUAGUAUUAUAGGAGGUAACAACUGUAGUGUACUUUGCUUGAAACAGUGGGUUAAUGAUCUGUUAAGGUUUCAAUAUUGAACAUACUAAAAAAAAAAAAAAGACUGGAAAUCUACCAAGAAAUGAUUUAUGAACUUUCUAUUUU
RNA transcript from Myotis myotis, 1954 nucleotides. It is a transcript of the gene named choline phosphotransferase 1, with no coding region annotated. NCBI's taxonomy places the organism in Eukaryota, Metazoa, Chordata, Mammalia, Chiroptera, Vespertilionidae. The transcript has 9 exons. The record is from RefSeq and is a predicted model, not a curated record.